UUAUUUAUAAUGCUAGUUGGAUGAUUGAGUUAUUGCUGACUGAAUUCCAUAAUUUAAGAUUAAGCUGCUACUAUAGUAAUGCCGCCUUAGGCUAUGUUACCCAGACUCUGGUACUCGUGUUGGACACCAGCCGCCUAUAGGUUUAUAGUUUGAACGCACUGGUUAUUACUUGUUACUGAACUUUUAUUGUUGAGUAAGUAUGAUCCUAGUGGUUUGUAAUUCAUGUCCUAUCGAACUCGUUGUGUGGUUUCGAAUUUGCAUAUACCAUGAACUUGACUUGCUAUUUGGUUGCAAUUUGAGUUUUAUUAUUAUUUUUUUUGAAAUUUAUACAUGGGUAGGGUGGCUACUGUUUGGAGGUGCUUUGAAGAAAUGAUCUUAGAAAUUGCGUCAUUUUUCAUAGCUAAGUGAGAUGUUAUAUGCCAUUCUUUGCUGUGUUGUAACAUCAGUGGUGAUGAUUUAUUGUGUGGGAACUGGGUUUUUCGAGUUGGUCAGUUCUUCAUUGGUACAUGUUGGUGGAGGAGUUAGUGACUGCUUAUUCUAAGAGGCAGUGAUUGUGUGUAUGUACCUUUGAAUGGAUUGUUUUAAUAAAUGUUUUCCAGAGUAAGAGUGAUGCUGGGUUAAGCAGUGGUUAUAGUUGAGUAUAGCCAAGAGAAUGAUUCUUUGAUUUGACAUGAUACCCUAUAGCCAAGAGAAUUUGGUUUAGUCUCUUGCAAAAUAGUACUCCAUUUCAUAAUACUUUCUAAUUAAUUGUUUAUAUAAUAUUAACACAAGCUCAACUGAAUAUUGCUAAUAUCUCUAAAAUGUCAAUACACUAUUGCUUAGUUACACUGUUUGGAACACUGGGUAUAGACAUACAACGCUAAUUUCAUGAGAUGUUCUUGUUUGAGAUUCUCUCUUCUUCAUUACAACAAUUGUAAUCUAGGUAAACUUAAAUGAAGCAUGCUUUUAACUGGAUAUGAUUAUUUAUACAAAUGAUUUUUAUUGUUUGAAUGUGUACAUGCAUAGUGAGAAACUAUUUUCAGCAUGUUCUAAACUAUUCUUAUGUUUAAAAUAUAUUACUAAUGUAGGAAUGUUACUAAUGUUUUUUAUUUUAUAAAAUUUCAGCAAAAUGGAAAGCCAAAAUAAAGAAGAAGAAAUUACUAUUAUACCGGAUGAAAAAAUUACUUAUGGAAGAAAAAGGAAAAUUGUUGAAAAUGAUGCGGAAGUAAUUGACAAAGCUGAAUUUGAGAAACAUGUGCAAAGUC
This is a long non-coding RNA of Chenopodium quinoa (quinoa), 1244 nucleotides long. RefSeq lists it as uncharacterized. The record is from RefSeq and is a predicted model, not a curated record. The transcript has 2 exons. Lineage: Eukaryota; Viridiplantae; Streptophyta; Magnoliopsida; Caryophyllales; Amaranthaceae.